Molecule: ribosomal RNA, 468 nt
Filed under: uncultured bacterium
Lineage: Bacteria
Description: partial 16S ribosomal RNA
Rfam family: Bacterial small subunit ribosomal RNA
Source: RNAcentral
GACGAACGCUGGCGGCGUGCUUAACACAUGCAAGUCGAACGGAAAGGCCCUGCUUUUGUGGGGUGCUCGAGUGGCGAACGGGUGAGUAACACGUGAGUAACCUGCCCUUGACUUUGGGAUAACUUCAGGAAACUGGGGCUAAUACCGGAUAGGAGCUCCUGCUGCAUGGUGGGGGUUGGAAAGUUUCGGCGGUUGGGGAUGGACUCGCGGCUUAUCAGCUUGUUGGUGGGGUAGUGGCUUACCAAGGCUUUGACGGGUAGCCGGCCUGAGAGGGUGACCGGCCACAUGGGGACUGAGAUACGGCCCAGACUCGUACGUGAGGCAGCAGUGGGGAAUAUUGCACAAUGGGCGGAAGCCUGAUACAGCAACGCCGCGUGCGGGAUGACGGCCUUCGGGUUGUAAACCGCUGUCGCCUGUGACGAAGCGGGAGUGACGGUAAUGGGUAAAGAAGCACCGGCUAACUACGUG